This 758-nucleotide ribosomal RNA is filed under the name Clostridioides difficile. RNAcentral's name for it is "bacterial LSU rRNA". It matches the Rfam family "Bacterial large subunit ribosomal RNA", at positions 685 to 1451 of the family's 2925-position model. The record is from RNAcentral. Lineage: Bacteria; Bacillati; Bacillota; Clostridia; Peptostreptococcales; Peptostreptococcaceae.
UAACUGAGCGUUCAGUUACUUGACGUAGACCCGAAACCGGGCGACCUACCCAUGAGCAGGAUGAAGCGAAAGUAAAAUUUCGUGGAGGUCCGAACCCACGAGCGUUGAAAAGCUCGGGGAUGACUUGUGGGUAGCGGUGAAAUUCCAAUCGAGCCCGGAGAUAGCUGGUUCUCCCCGAAAUAGCUUUAGGGCUAGCCUCAAGGUGAGAGAUACGGAGGUAGAGCACUGAAUGUCCUAGGGGGUAUUGCACCUACCGAAGACUAUCAAACUCCGAAUGCCGUCAUCUUAUACUUGGGAGUCAGACUGUGGGUGAUAAGAUUCAUAGUCGAAAGGGCAACAGCCCAGAUCGUCAGCUAAGGUCCCUAAAUGUAAGUUAAGUGGUAAAGGAUGUGGGAUUGCACAGACAACCAGGAUGUUGGCUUAGAAGCAGCCACUCAUUCAAAGAGUGCGUAAUAGCUCACUGGUCGAGUGAUCCUGCGCCGAAGAUUUCCGGGGCUAAAACUUACUACCGAAGCUACGGCAUCAGUAAGGAUGGGUAGGGGAGCUUCCCAUACGGGUUGAAGCAUGACCGUAAGGACAUGGGGACAGUAUGGGAGUGAGAAUGUUGGCAUGAGUAGCGAGAUGUGGGUGAGAAUCCCACAGGCCGUAAACCCAAGGUUUCCAGGGGAAGGUUCGUCCGCCCUGGGUUAGUCGGGACCUAAGCUGAGGCCGAAAGGCGUAGGUGAUGGACAACAGGUUGAUAUUCCUGUACUACCGAU